GAACGCUGGCGGCAGGCCUAACACAUGCAAGUCGAACGGUAGCACAGAGGAGCUUGCUCCUUGGGUGACGAGUGGCGGACGGGUGAGUAAUGUCUGGGAAACUGCCCGAUGGAGGGGGAUAACUACUGGAAACGGUAGCUAAUACCGCAUAACGUCGCAAGACCAAAGAGGGGGACCUUCGGGCCUCUUGCCAUCGGAUGUGCCCAGAUGGGAUUAGCUAGUAGGUGGGGUAACAGCCCACCAAGGCGACGAUCCCUAGCUGGUCUGAGAGGAUGACCAGCCACACUGGAACUGAGACACGGUCCAGACUCCUACGGGAGGCAGCAGUGGGGAAUAUUGCACAAUGGGCGCAAGCCUGAUGCAGCCAUGCCGCGUGUAUGAAGAAGGCCUUCGGGUUGUAAAGUACUUUCAGCGAGGAGGAAGGCGUUGUGGUUAAUAACCGCAACGAAUGACGUUACUCGGCAGAAGAGCCCCGGGCUACUCCGUGCCAGC
RNAcentral lists this ribosomal RNA (492 nucleotides) under uncultured Enterobacterales bacterium. RNAcentral describes it as "bacterial SSU rRNA". It matches the Rfam family "Bacterial small subunit ribosomal RNA", at positions 31 to 512 of the family's 1533-position model. Lineage: Bacteria; Pseudomonadati; Pseudomonadota; Gammaproteobacteria; Enterobacterales. The record is from RNAcentral.